Molecule: ribosomal RNA, 467 nt
Filed under: uncultured organism
Description: partial 16S ribosomal RNA
Rfam family: Bacterial small subunit ribosomal RNA
Source: RNAcentral
ACUCCUGCGGGAGGCAGCAGUGAGGAAUAUUGGACAAUGGGUGGAAGCCUGAUCCAGCCAUCCCGCGUGCAGGAAGACGGCCCUAUGGGUUGUAAACUGCUUUUAUCUGGGGAUAAACCUACUUACGUGUAAGUAGCUGAAGGUACCAGAAGAAUAAGCACCGGCUAACUCCGUGCCAGCAGCCGCGGUAAUACGGAGGGUGCAAGCGUUAUCCGGAUUUAUUGGGUUUAAAGGGUCCGUAGGCGGACUGAUAAGUCAGUGGUGAAAUCCGACAGCUUAACUGUCGAACUGCCAUUGAUACUGUUAGUCUUGAGUAAGGUUGAAGUGGCUGGAAUAAGUAGUGUAGCGGUGAAAUGCAUAGAUAUUACUUAGAACACCAAUUGCGAAGGCAGGUCACUAAGUCUUAACUGACGCUGAUGGACGAAAGCGUGGGGAGCGAACAGGAUUAGAAACCCUAGUAGUCCCAU